UGAAAAAGUCAAACAAAUUCAUGAACAAGUUGCAUCGCAACGGGAGAUGUUGACAGAAAAUGUGAGCAAGUACAUGAUAAUCAAUUAUACUAUGACGCGGUUGGUGGCACGACAAGAAAAAGAAGAAUUUAUGGACUUGCAUAUGGUUGUUUUGUUGUUAAUGGUCCAACUAAUGAUAACACUUCUGACAAUAUGACCCCAACAUCGCGACCAUCUGACAAUGCUACUUCUGCCAAUGUACAAGAUGAAAUUCAGAAUUUGAAGGCUACAAUUCUCCUUAUGCAACAACGACUUGAUGCUAUUGAUGGCGGGGGAGCGAGUACUUCAUCAUCACCUCCAUCUCAAAUCAAUUGAUUUUAAUAGUUGUUUGUGAAUACUAUUACAAUGUUGUUUAGACUUGAAUUGACUAUUAUUAUGUAUUAAAUGUGGAUUGAUAAUGUAUAAUUACUUGAACUUAAUGUAGAAUUAUAAUAUUUUUCAAUU
Molecule: long non-coding RNA, 483 nt
Organism: Ipomoea nil (Japanese morning glory)
Lineage: Eukaryota; Viridiplantae; Streptophyta; Magnoliopsida; Solanales; Convolvulaceae
Exons: 4
Source: RefSeq, a predicted model, not a curated record